GGGCUUUCCAAACGCCGGCACCGGGUCUAUAUCGUUCGGUGCCGGGUUCGCCCGGCUAUGGUGAUAAAUCAUGUCGCAUAAUAGACGCAGCGGACCCGGGGGCAGUACCCGGCGGCUCCACCACAAGCCUCGGCAACGAGGUUUAUGACGGGGCCGAACCAGGAUCGACGUGUGUUCAAAGGCGAUGUCUUUGCCCGGCCUGAUUGAGCCGUAAAACCGAUCAAAACCACAAGUGCUAACGAUAACGAAGCACUCGCGAUUGCUGCGUAACUGACGCCCUUCGGGGAGUAGGUUACAAGGCUUAAGCGCGGUUCGGGCCGAACCGGGCAACAGAAUCGGACACC
Molecule: transfer-messenger RNA, 344 nt
Filed under: Alterirhizorhabdus solaris
Lineage: Bacteria; Pseudomonadati; Pseudomonadota; Alphaproteobacteria; Sphingomonadales; Rhizorhabdaceae
Description: Sphingomonas solaris Alphaproteobacteria transfer-messenger RNA
Rfam family: Alphaproteobacteria transfer-messenger RNA
About the family: Bacterial tmRNA, also known as 10Sa RNA or SsrA, is named for its dual tRNA and mRNA-like properties. Its role is to liberate the mRNA from a stalled ribosome.
Source: Rfam by way of RNAcentral